This 581-nucleotide ribosomal RNA is filed under the name uncultured Actinomycetes bacterium. RNAcentral describes it as "bacterial SSU rRNA". It matches the Rfam family "Bacterial small subunit ribosomal RNA", at positions 790 to 1368 of the family's 1533-position model. Lineage: Bacteria; Bacillati; Actinomycetota; Actinomycetes. The record is from RNAcentral.
GUAGUCCACGCCGUAAACGAUGGGCACUAGGUGCCGGGGGGAGCGACCCCUUCGGUGCCGCAGCUAACGCGAUAAGUGCCCCGCCUGGGGAGUACGGCCGCAAGGCUGAAACUCAAAGGAAUUGACGGGGGCCCGCACAAGCGGUGGAGCAUGUGGUUUAAUUCGAAGUAACGCGAAGAACCUUACCUGGGUUUGACAUCACGGGGAAAGCCUCGGGAAACCGGGGCCCUCCUUCGGAGCGCCAGCACAGGUGCUGCAUGGCUGUCGUCAGCUCGUGUCGUGAGAUGUUGGGUUAAGUCCCGCAACGAGCGCAACUCUCGCUCCCAGUUGCCAGCGGUUCGGCCGGGGACUCUGGGGGGACUGCCGGCGUUAAGCCGGAGGAAGGUGGGGACGACGUCAAGUCAUCAUGGCCCUUACGUCCAGGGCGACACACGUGCUACAAUGCCUGGUACAACGCGUCGCGAACUCGCAAGAGGGAGCCAAUCGCCAAAAGCCGGGCUAAGUUCGGAUUGUCGUCUGCAACUCGACGGCAUGAAGCCGGAAUCGCUAGUAAUCGCGGAUCAGCCACGCCGCGGUGAAUA